GACGACGCUGGCGGCGUGCCUGACACAUGCAAGUCGGACGGUUCUUGCACCUUCAAGCUUGCUUGUUGGUUCAAGGAUAGUGGCGGACGGGUGAGUAACGCGUGAACACCUACCCAUUGGAGGGGUACAACCCGUCGAAAGGCGGGCUAAUACCGCGUAAGCCGUGAGGUGAAAGGCUGCUCUUUGGUGGCUGCCGAUGGAUGGGUUCGCGUCCUAUCAGCUGGUUGGUGGGGUAACGGCCUACCAAGGCUAAGACGGGUAGCCGGUCUGAGAGGAUGGCCGGCCACACUGGAACUGAGACACGGUCCAGACUCCUACGGGAGGCAGCAGUGGGGAAUCUUGGGCAAUGGGGGAGACCCUGACCCAGCGACGCCGCGUGAGGGAUGAAGGUUUUCGGAUCGUAAACCUCUGUUGUACGGGAAGAAGGAUGUGACGGUACCGUACGAGUAAGCCCCGGCAAACUACGUG
This 468-nucleotide ribosomal RNA is filed under the name uncultured bacterium. RNAcentral describes it as "bacterial SSU rRNA". It matches the Rfam family "Bacterial small subunit ribosomal RNA", at positions 33 to 507 of the family's 1533-position model. The record is from RNAcentral.